RNAcentral lists this small nucleolar RNA (124 nucleotides) under Neogobius melanostomus (round goby). Its description in RNAcentral is "Small nucleolar RNA SNORA65 (ENSNMLG00000024811.1)". It matches the Rfam family "Small nucleolar RNA SNORA65". From Rfam's summary of the family: U65 belongs to the H/ACA class of snoRNAs which are thought to guide the sites of modification of uridines to pseudouridines. Lineage: Eukaryota; Metazoa; Chordata; Actinopteri; Gobiiformes; Gobiidae. The record is from Rfam by way of RNAcentral.
CCCGCCACUAUGCCAGUCUACAGUGACCGAGUAUAAUCCAGUGGAGGCUCAGAGAAACCCGGCUUUAGGAAACAGGGCGGUCCACAACAAUGGUCAACUCUGUGCCGUAAAGUUUGGAACAACU